This 483-nucleotide ribosomal RNA is filed under the name uncultured bacterium. RNAcentral describes it as "bacterial SSU rRNA". It matches the Rfam family "Bacterial small subunit ribosomal RNA", at positions 502 to 988 of the family's 1533-position model. The record is from RNAcentral.
UACGUGCCAGCAGCCGCGGUAAUACGUAUGUCACGAGCGUUAUCCGGAUUUAUUGGGCGUAAAGCGCGUCUAGGUGGUUAUGUAAGUCUGAUGUGAAAAUGCAGGGCUCAACUCUGUAUUGCGUUGGAAACUGUAUAACUAGAGUACUGGAGAGGUAAGCGGAACUACAAGUGUAGAGGUGAAAUUCGUAGAUAUUUGUAGGAAUGCCGAUGGGGAAGCCAGCUUACUGGACAGAUACUGACGCUAAAGCGCGAAAGCGUGGGUAGCAAACAGGAUUAGAUACCCUGGUAGUCCACGCCGUAAACGAUGAUUACUAGGUGUUGGGGGUCGAACCUCAGCGCCCAAGCAAACGCGAUAAGUAAUCCGCCUGGGGAGUACGUACGCAAGUAUGAAACUCAAAGGAAUUGACGGGGACCCGCACAAGCGGUGGAGCAUGUGGUUUAAUUCGACGCAACGCGAGGAACCUUACCAGCGUUUGACAUC